RNAcentral lists this ribosomal RNA (490 nucleotides) under uncultured bacterium. RNAcentral describes it as "partial 16S ribosomal RNA". It matches the Rfam family "Bacterial small subunit ribosomal RNA", at positions 30 to 507 of the family's 1533-position model. The record is from RNAcentral.
AUUGAACGCUGGCGGCAGGCCUAACACAUGCAAGUCGAACGGUAACAGGAAGCAGCUUGCUGCUUCGCUGACGAGUGGCGGACGGGUGAGUAAUGUCUGGGAAACUGCCUGAUGGAGGGGGAUAACUACUGGAAACGGUAGCUAAUACCGCAUAACGUCGCAAGACCAAAGAGGGAGACCUUAGGGCCUCUUGCCAUCGGAUGUGCCCAGAUGGGAUUAGCUAGUAGGUGGGGUAACGGCUCACCUAGGCGACGAUCCCUAGCUGGUCUGAGAGGAUGACCAGCCACACUGGAACUGAGACACGGUCCAGACUCCUACGGGAGGCAGCAGUGGGGAAUAUUGCACAAUGGGCGCAAGCCUGAUGCAGCCAUGCCGCGUGUAUGAAGAAGGCCUUCGGGUUGUAAAGUACUUUCAGCGGGGAGGAAGGGAGUAAAGUUAAUACCUUUGCUCAUUGACGUUACCCGCAGAAGAAGCACCGGCUAACUCCGUG